GUGAGAGGGUGAUCUGGCUGCAACAGCUGUCACCCUAUUGAGGGCCAGGAUUGAUUUGGCUAAUCUGGCUGGCUAGGUGGGUGCCCCCUUCUUCCCCCACAGUUCCCUGCACCUCCCUCCAGAAGUUGUGUAUUUGGUAGAAGAUAACCAUCCCAGGUAGAAGAAAUACACAAGGUCAAGGGAAUACAAUAGCUAUGCUCCAAACAAACUUGAGAAACUACAUGUAUGCUACCUUUGGUUUCAUGAUGACAAUAAGG
This 257-nucleotide small nuclear RNA is filed under the name Salvator merianae (Argentine black and white tegu). Its description in RNAcentral is "7SK RNA (ENSSMRG00000011064.1)". It matches the Rfam family "7SK RNA". From Rfam's summary of the family: 7SK was discovered as an abundant small nuclear RNA in the mid-70s but a possible function has only recently been suggested. Two independent studies have found that 7SK RNA binds the CDK9/cyclin T complex (known as elongation factor P-TEFb). P-TEFb activates transcription by phosphorylating the C-terminal domain of RNA polymerase II. Lineage: Eukaryota; Metazoa; Chordata; Lepidosauria; Squamata; Teiidae. The record is from Rfam by way of RNAcentral.